GAUGAACGCUAGCUACAGGCUUAACACAUGCAAGUCGAGGGGAAACGGCAUCGAAAGCUUGCUUUUGAUUGGCGUCGACCGGAGCACGGGUGAGUAACGCGUAUCCAAGCUGCCCACCAUUUGGGGAUAACCUUGCUAAAGUACGGCUAAGACCCAAUGAUAUCUCUAGAAGACAUCUACAAGGAAUUAAAGCUUUAUCGGUGAUGGAUGGGGAUGCGUCUGAUUGGCUUGUUGGCGGGGUAACGGCGGACCAAGGCGACGAUCAGUAGGGGGUCUGAGAGGAAGGUCCCCAACAUUGGAACUGAGACACGGUCCAAACUCCUACGGGAGGCAGCAGUGAGGAAUAUUGGUCAAUGUGCGAGAGCCUGAACCAGCCAAGUAGCGUGCAGGAUGACGGCCCUAUGGGUUGUAAACUGCUUUUAUAAGGGAAUAAAGUGGGAGUCGUGACUCCUUUUGCAUGUACCUUAUGAAUAAGGACCGGCUAAUUCCGUGCCAGCCGCCGCGGUAC
Molecule: ribosomal RNA, 508 nt
Filed under: uncultured bacterium
Lineage: Bacteria
Description: partial 16S ribosomal RNA
Rfam family: Bacterial small subunit ribosomal RNA
Source: RNAcentral